RNAcentral lists this non-coding RNA (239 nucleotides) under Amborella trichopoda. RNAcentral's name for it is "rRNA SSU_rRNA_eukarya". It matches the Rfam family "Eukaryotic small subunit ribosomal RNA", at positions 1229 to 1478 of the family's 1831-position model. The record is from Rfam by way of RNAcentral. Lineage: Eukaryota; Viridiplantae; Streptophyta; Magnoliopsida; Amborellales; Amborellaceae.
UAGCGAGUGGUUUGAGUUUUUCAUUUAUUUUUUAAUUCCAUGGGAAGUGGUGCAUGGCCAUUCAUAGUUGGUGGGGUGGGGUGAUUUGUUGCCUAAUUCCAUUAAUGAAUGAGACUUUCAGCCUGCUAACUAGCUUCGUGAGAUAUCCUCCACAACCAACUGCUUAGACAGAGCGACGAAGUAUGGCUGUUUAGGUCAAGAAUGUUUGAGGUGAAAACAGGUUUGUGAUGCCCUUAGAU